GAUGAAGAACGUAGCGAAAGGCGAUACGUAAUGUGAAUUGCAAAUUCAGUGAAUCAUCGAGUCUUUGAACGCACAUUGCGCCCCCUGGUAUUCCGGGGGGCAUGCCUGUCCGAGCGUCAUUGCUGCCCUCAAGCACGGCUUGUGUGUUGGGCCCCGUCCUCCGAUCCCGGGGGACGGGCCCGAAAGGCAGCGGCGGCACCGCGUCCGGUCCUCGAGCGUAUGGGGCUUUGUCACCCGCUCUGUAGGCCCGGCCGGCGCUUGCCGAUCAACCCAAAUUUUUUAUCCAGGUUGACCUCGGAUCAGGUAGGGAUACCCGCUGAACUUAAGCAUAUCAAUAAGCGGAGGA
RNAcentral lists this unclassified non-coding RNA (346 nucleotides) under soil metagenome. RNAcentral's name for it is "partial contains 5.8S ribosomal RNA, internal transcribed spacer 2, and large subunit ribosomal RNA". The stretch from base 1 to 119 matches the Rfam family "5.8S ribosomal RNA", at positions 35 to 154 of the family's 154-position model. The record is from RNAcentral.